GUCCACGCCCUAAACGGUGGGUACUAGGUGUAGGGCUCGUAAGGGUUCUGUGCCGUAGGGAAACCAUUAAGUACCCCGCCUGGGGAGUACGGCCGCAAGGUUGAAACUCAAAGGAAUUGACGGGGGCCGCACAAGCGGUGGAGCAUGUGGUUUAAUUCGACGCAACGCGAAGAACCUUACCUGGGCUUGACAUGGUAGUGGUAGGAAUAUGAAAGUUGACCGACCUGUAGCAAUACAGGAGCUAUCACAGGUGCUGCAUGGCUGUCGU
RNAcentral lists this ribosomal RNA (268 nucleotides) under uncultured bacterium. RNAcentral describes it as "partial 16S ribosomal RNA". It matches the Rfam family "Bacterial small subunit ribosomal RNA", at positions 793 to 1055 of the family's 1533-position model. The record is from RNAcentral.